UGUCAUUUACUUUUGAACGUGUAACUAUAAGUUAAUGACUGUCUGUCCUUAACUUUUGAACUUGGAAAUCAAAGUUAAGGACUUAUUGCCCUUAACUUUUGAACUUGUAACUGUAAGUUAAGGACUGUCUGUCCUGUCCUUAACUUUAGAACUUGUAACUGUAUGUUAAGGACUGCCUGUCCAUAACUUUUGAACUUGUGUCCUUAACUAUUGAACUAAACUUUAGGACUUCUCAUUUCCUUAACUUUUGAAGUUGAAACUCUAAGUUCAGGACCAUGCUCUUAACUUUUGAAUUUAACUUUAGGACUUCAAGAAGGAAUUGCAUUUCCUGUUUACUCAUCACACUUUUUUCUUAUUUUCACGUCAUAUCUUAAUCUUUUUUAAUAAAAUUUGGAACCUCUCCUCAUUCUCCUUUUGCUUUUGUAAUUGUUCUCUUAUGUUCUUCAUGCUUGUUUAGCUUAUCAACAUGAACUGUAACCAAAGGCAUUUAACAUUCAGUAGCAUUAAUAGAAGUUCGUACCAUUCUCGUUGACCUUCCUUACCAAUGGGUGAAGGUGAGGUUCCGAAUACACGAUUGCGCACGUUAGAUGCUGAAAUGAAACAGUAUAAAUACACUACAUUUCCGUUUGGGAAAAGAGAUAGAAGAAAGGGUAACACAGUCUUUUCAUAUUAAUUUUAAUAGACUAGUGGCUACUAUUGCUAAGCAUUAAAAAUGCUGGAUAAAAAGUAAAUACCAGCUUAAACAGUGGCUACCCCACGCCAUUUCUACAGUUUGGUUCAAGGUCCCUUUUUUAGCACUAGGUAUUACCACGUGGUACGGAAUAUAGUGUUCCUUGAUUGUCUAAUCAAAAUGAUAACUGACCAAUAGGAAAGGUACUUUGGAUAUGC
Molecule: long non-coding RNA, 888 nt
Filed under: Nicotiana benthamiana
Lineage: Eukaryota; Viridiplantae; Streptophyta; Magnoliopsida; Solanales; Solanaceae
Description: long non-coding RNA (NBEN_LNC033164)
Source: RNAcentral